Molecule: ribosomal RNA, 121 nt
Organism: Erinaceus europaeus (western European hedgehog)
Lineage: Eukaryota; Metazoa; Chordata; Mammalia; Eulipotyphla; Erinaceidae
Source: Ensembl
GUCUAAGGCCAUACCACCUGAAUACACCCGAUCUAGUCUGAUCUCGGAAGCUAAGCAGGGUCGGGCCUGGUUAGUACUUGGAUGGGAGAAAUGGGAAUACAUUUUCCAGUAUAUUUAGAAC